RNAcentral lists this ribosomal RNA (534 nucleotides) under uncultured Acidobacteriota bacterium. RNAcentral describes it as "bacterial SSU rRNA". It matches the Rfam family "Bacterial small subunit ribosomal RNA", at positions 8 to 522 of the family's 1533-position model. Lineage: Bacteria; Pseudomonadati; Acidobacteriota. The record is from RNAcentral.
AGAGUUUGAUCCUGGCUCAGAAUCAACGCUGGCGGCGUGCCUAACACAUGCAAGUCGAACGCGAAAGCCCCGCAAGGGGCCAGUAGAGUGGCAAACGGGUGAGUAACACGUGGGUGACCUGCCUUCGAGCGGGGGAUAACGUCCCGAAAGGGACGCUAAUACCGCAUGACAUCCUGCCUUUGAAGAGGUGGAGAUCAAAGCUGGGGAUCGCAAGACCUAGCACUCGAUGAGGGGCCCGCGCCUGAUUAGCUAGUUGGUGGGGUAAUGGCUCACCAAGGCAACGAUCAGUAUCCGGCCUGAGAGGGCGGACGGACACACUGGGACUGAGACACGGCCCAGACUCCUACGGGAGGCAGCAGUGGGGAAUUGUUCGCAAUGGGCGCAAGCCUGACGACGCAACGCCGCGUGGAGGAUGAAGACCUUCGGGUCGUAAACUCCUUUCGAUCGAGACGAAUGGCCUUCGGGUGAACAAUCCGGAGGAGUGACGGUACCGAGAGAAGAAGCCCGGCUAACUUCGUGCCAGCAGCCGCGGUA